Molecule: long non-coding RNA, 603 nt
Filed under: Macaca mulatta (Rhesus monkey)
Lineage: Eukaryota; Metazoa; Chordata; Mammalia; Primates; Cercopithecidae
Description: lncRNA (ENSMMUG00000049376.1)
Source: RNAcentral
UUUGAGAUGAUGGAGGAUUGAACGCCAAAAAUUCGUAAUCAUAGAAAAUUCCGGAGCGCCGCGGCGGGGGAGGGCCGCGCUCGGCGCCGGCACGAGUGCCGCUGGCCUGAGCCGAACCUCUAGCCUAUACUGCCGCCCCCGCGGAAGCGUACGCCGACUGGGAAGUGAAAGGCCUGAUAACCUGCAUUUCUAAGAAGCUCCAAGAUGUUGCUGCUAGUUCCAGGACCACACUUUUGAAUUUGGAGGCUGAGAUGAAGAAAACCUGCUUGAUAUCAUACAGUCAGGAGUCAACUGAGUUGCGGCUUUGAACAUAGGUUUAUCUGAUGCCAAAGUUUGUGAUGCUCUUCAACUAUUUAGGGUACCUCAGAGUGUGGAUUUUGAAUCACCUGUAUCAGCAUCAUUUAAAAAUAUGGAUUCUGUGGUGCUGACUAGGUCUCUGAAGUCAGAAUAUGAAGUGGAGCUAGGAAUCUACCUUCUUAACAAGUUCCCUAGAUCCCUAAGGGUAUCCCUGAAUGAUACAGUUUUGUUUGAAAGACUGAAAAGCCCAAACCUGGCACUUUUGGGAAAUAGCAGUAAAUCAUUGAUAUGUGAAGGUUCCCAGCA